GGAAUAUUGGUCAAUGGGCGAGAGCCUGAACCAGCCAAGUAGCGUGAAGGAUGACUGCCCUAUGGGUUGUAAACUUCUUUUAUGGGGGGAAUAAAGUGUGCCACGCGUGGCAUUUUGUAUGUACCCCAUGAAUAAGCAUCGGCUAAUUCCGUGCCAGCAGCCGCGGUAAUACGGAAGAUGCGAGCGUUAUCCGGAUUUAUUGGGUUUAAAGGGAGCGCAGGCUGAUUGUUAAGCGUGACGUGAAAUGUAGCCGCUCAACGGCUGAACUGCGUCGCGAACUGGCAGUCUUGAGUGAGUACGACGUCAGCGGAAUUCGUGGUGUAGCGGUGAAAUGCUUAGAUAUCACGAAGAACCCCGAUUGCGAAGGCAGCUGACGAGUCCUUUACUGACGCUAAAGCUCGAAGGUGCGGGUAUCGAACA
This 420-nucleotide ribosomal RNA is filed under the name uncultured bacterium. RNAcentral describes it as "bacterial SSU rRNA". It matches the Rfam family "Bacterial small subunit ribosomal RNA", at positions 358 to 774 of the family's 1533-position model. The record is from RNAcentral.